AGUACCAUCGGUAUCGCCUUGCAGGAGGAGGUACCAAGUCAUCUAUGAGGUGCUGUGUUCAAAAGGCAUGGUACUGAGCAUCAUAGAAAAGCCGUAAC
RNAcentral lists this non-coding RNA (98 nucleotides) under bovine gut metagenome. The record is from RNAcentral.